UAAGGAAUAUUGGACAAUGGAGGCAACUCUGAUCCAGCCAUGCCGCGUGAAGGAAUAAGGCCCUAUGGGUUGUAAACUUCUUUUAGACGGGACAAAACCCCUUUACGUGUAAAGGGUUGAUGGUACUGUCAGAAUAAGCAUCGGCUAACUUCGUGCCAGCAGCCGCGGUAAUACGAAGGAUGCAAGCGUUAUCCGGAAUUAUUGGGUUUAAAGGGUGCGUAGGCGGACUAAUAAGUCAGUGGUGAAAGCCUGCAGCUUAACUGCAGAAUUGCCAUUGAUACUGUUAGUCUUGAGUACAGUUGAGGUAGGCGGAAUGUGUCAUGUAGCGGUGAAAUGCUAAGAUAUGACACAGAACACCGAUUGCGAAGGCAGCUUGCUAAGCUGUAACUGACGCUGAGGCACGAAAGCGUGGGGAGCAAACA
This 422-nucleotide ribosomal RNA is filed under the name uncultured bacterium. RNAcentral describes it as "bacterial SSU rRNA". It matches the Rfam family "Bacterial small subunit ribosomal RNA", at positions 355 to 774 of the family's 1533-position model. The record is from RNAcentral.